UACGUAGGGUGCGAGCGUUGUCCGGAAUUACUGGGCGUAAAGAGCUCGUAGGUGGUUUGUCGCGUUGUCCGUGAAAACUCACAACUCAAUUGUGGGCGUGCGGGCGAUACGGGCAGACUGGAGUACUGCAGGGGAGACUGGAAUUCCUGGUGUAGCGGUGGAAUGCGCAGAUAUCAGGAGGAACACCGGUGGCGAAGGCGGUUCUCUGGGCAUUACCUGACGCUGAGGCGCGAAAGCCAGGGGAGCGAACGGG
This 253-nucleotide ribosomal RNA is filed under the name uncultured bacterium. RNAcentral's name for it is "partial 16S ribosomal RNA". It matches the Rfam family "Bacterial small subunit ribosomal RNA", at positions 524 to 776 of the family's 1533-position model. The record is from RNAcentral.